ACAGCAACAUCGUCGGAUCCAUUGUAGAAGUUGAAAACUGCAAAGAUCAAAUUUAAUUUCAAUGAUCAACGUAUUUUGGGGGUUUCUUUAUUGAGUGUGCCCACCAAGUGUUUGAUAAAUUGCAUCAGUGAAAUCGACACUUACUUAAGGUGUCACCAACUAAGAAAGUCUUGUUAUAAGCCCAUGAGGCAUAGAAGAGACCGAGAGGAUCUGGUGGAGGGAUUAGCCAUCCGAGUUUGUCGCCGACGGUGUAGUUUUUCGGCUCUCUUGGAGCUGGAGCUGGAGGCGGAGUUGGGGCGGGAGUCGGUUCAGAAUGUGCAGUGACAUUGAUGGCCAACCUCUGUCCCAAGAUGCAGUGCUUGUCCAAAGUGCCAAUGAAAUAGUACUCCCCCAGUGUGUCCAACGUAAAAUUGGCUGGACCAGUGGUUUUGAGGCUGAUUGGAUUGGUUGAAUUGCAGGGGAUUUUCUAAGGAAGGUGCAUUUGUCAAAAUAUAGUGAAAGCAAGAGCUAUAUUCUGGACAAAGGAGACUUAUUCACAACAGUGAUGUAUGAUCCGCAUGGCAUUUGUAAGUCAACAGAGCACAUUACUUAAAUUUACACAUGAUUCUUAAAUAAUGUAUUAUUUGACAAUUUCUUUGCCUCAACUGAUAAGUUAAUAGAAUUUCUAGACCUUGCUUUGGCCAUCAUUUUGGCGUUUUCUUUGAUUGUGAAA
Cucumis sativus (cucumber) is the source of this 712-nucleotide long non-coding RNA. RefSeq lists it as uncharacterized. The transcript has 2 exons. Lineage: Eukaryota; Viridiplantae; Streptophyta; Magnoliopsida; Cucurbitales; Cucurbitaceae. The record is from RefSeq and is a predicted model, not a curated record.